RNAcentral lists this long non-coding RNA (7189 nucleotides) under Homo sapiens (human). Its description in RNAcentral is "uncharacterized LOC105369308, transcript variant 2 (LOC105369308)". The record is from RNAcentral. Lineage: Eukaryota; Metazoa; Chordata; Mammalia; Primates; Hominidae.
AGUCACAGGCGCGCCUCCGCGUCGCUGCCUCCAGGGACUCUCCCGGGAGAGACCCGCGCGCUCCCGGGUUCGGGGAAGUCGCGACGCCAGCUCGAAUGCCGCCUCCCGUCUGCUCCUGGUUGGGAUCCUGUCUUCAAGUGCAACAGCCAAGCCAGCUGCCCACUCCUCUGUGUCCUCUUAGAUUGUGCUCUGGGUGUGUGUCUUCUCUGCUGGAUUAAGGAGCUCACUGGAGUGGAGGUGACUGCAGUCAGCAAAACACUCAGGAAAUGAUUGCUGGAGAAGAGUGGGGAAGGGACCCCACAUCUCCCCUCUGCCUGCCCUCCCUUCUGCCUGCACCUUGCGGCCUCUCUUGCAGUGAGAUGUGGCCGUGGGACUAGAUUCCUGCCCAUGGGAAUGUAAGGAAGUGCCGUUUCUGGAUAUGGGACUCAUGUCUCUGUGUAGGACUCAUCUCCUCCAUACUCUUUCCCCUUCCCCUGGCUGGAAGCAGGGGAAGGCAAGUGAAUUCAGUCACGUAGACAACAAGAAAGCCAUGGGGAUGGGGGAGCUACACGGGAAAGGGACUUGGGUUUCUGAGUGACUGUGUGGAGCUGAGCAGCCCUCACUACUUGGAACUCCCUGUAAGACAGAAAGAAACUUCUCUGGUCUAAAGCCACAAGGACUUAGCUUUACCCCAAGAACAGAGCACACCCAGUGGAGCACUACGUCUAAGAAGUGUGAGCACCCACAGCAUGGAGUGUGCCAGAUUGGACAACAGACAUUUCCUAAGAUUGAGUGACUUUAGGAGAGCAGGGAGUGCCUGGCUCAGGCAAGGUGGCACCUUUGGGGGUCCCAGGUGGCAGACAGAGCUUCGCCCAGGUCGAACUGUGCAUGGGCCCAGGGUGCUGGCCAGAGGUGGGGCGGCUGGAGUUCACAGGCCAGGCAGCCAAGGGGUUGGUCUGGCAAGUGGUCUGCCACCAUGGACCCAGGCCUCAGACCAAACAGGCUGCUAAAGACACGGGUCCUCAAAUCAUCUGCAGGCAGGGUCUGGCCUGGGCCCCAGGAGUCCACAGGCAGGGAGCACCCUGGGGAAGAGCUGAGGAUGCUGCAUCAGAAAAGAGGUAGGGAAGGCGGGGCAGGCCGGAGCACCCACACAUGCGCUGCGUGUUAGGCACAUACACACACGACCCUAUUUAACCCCCAACAGCCCUGACAAGCAGGUGUCAUUGAAUUCAUUGUUGGCACCGUGGCUGUGGCACUGAGUCCAGGAGCCCUGGGUCCUCCUCACCACAUCACCCUAGUUAGAUGGGCAACUCAUUUCUUCUUUGUUUAUACUAUGUGAAGUUUGGUUUCUUUCCAUUUAUUUGUCAAAUAAGUAAAUGUUUUAAAAUUUAUUUUAAUUCUUUUUUUAAAGAUAGGAUCCUGCUCUGUUGCCCAGGCUACAGUGCAAUGGCAUGAUCACAGCUCACUGCAGCCUCUAACUCCUGGGCUCACGCAAUCCUCCUGCCUCAGCCUCUCAAGUAGCUAGGACUACAGGCACAUGCCCCUGUGCUUGGCUAUUUUUUUCUUUUUUCUUUCAGUAGAGACAGGAUCUUACUAUGUUGACCAGGCUGGUCUCUAACUUAUGGCCUCAAGUGAUCCUCCCACCUCAGCCUCCCAAAGUGUUGGGAUUCUAGGCAUGAGCCACCUUGCCUGGCCAACAAAUGUUUUUGAACAUUUACUCUGUGCCUGGAACUACAUAUAGUGUAACAGGGGAGGCAGAAUAUUAAACAGUUAACAUGAUAAGUAAUGAAAAUAGUGAGUGAGCAUAAAUAGGGUGCUCAGGGGAAGUCUCGUGGAGAAGGUGACAUUCAGUUAGUAACUAAUUCCCUUGGGAAAGGCUAAUGCGAGAACACCGAACACUGUUUAAAUGCAUGCUCUGAGCUCUUCCCAGCAAAAGUUCUUUCUAAGUGGUUCUCAACAGGGGGUGAUUGUGCCUCCCACUCCCAGGGACAUUUGGCAAUGUUCAGAGACAUUUUUUGAUGGUCAUAUCUGGGAGGGGUGCUACUGGCAUCUAGUGGGUAGAAGCUAGGGGUGCGGCUAAACAACCCACCACGAACAAGACAGCCUCCGACGACGAAAAGCGAUCCAGCUAAAAAUGUGAAUAGUGCUGGGGUCGAGAACCUGCCCUGGAGGACAGAUGUGCUUUUGCUGAAGUCACUUAGAAGGCAAGGUGGCUCCAUCUGCCCUUCCCCUCUGCAGCUUGGAUAAAGGGUGGACCACACAUUGUUCAGCAGAGCAGAUGGGAGCGCCUGGCGCCCUGGGAUCCCGCAUCCUGGCCGCGGUCUGCCGACAUGGGGUAAGGAAGAGAAAGAUGAUGAUUUGUACUAACUGGUACAACCUACUGCCAAAUCGCCAGGGAAAGCGAAUGAAACACAUCCCAAGAAACUCUGUUUAUGGUGCAGGAAGGGUUUAGUGACUUUACUGCUCAGAUUACCAUUUGGAUAUCAGUUUCAUCAUCGUCAACCUCCAAUUUCCUGUUUUGCUUAUCUUAGAAUGACUCUUUUAAAAAAUGUUUGCACUGCUCAGAUGGCUUUGGCUUCAAGUUGAUUAGAUAUGGAACUGGUUUAUAAUGGAUUAGAAUGCAGGAUUUGUUUGCUUUGUAAUAUUUUAAGAAAGCAAUGAAAGAAGCGGCAAUGACAGGGAGAGAUAUUGUAUACUUACAGUCUGAUUCUUUUUUCAUUACCGGAAAAGACAACUAAUUUAGGAAUGUGGAUUAUGGCCCUUGGUCCCUUUUUGAUUUGUGUUUCACUUCAGGGUUUUCCUGAGUUACAAAUCCCUGCAGAUUUGUGAGACUUAAGAGGUACACAUGUACAUUUAUUUUUCCUUUUAGCAUUUUUUUUUUUAGCCUGCAGGAUCCCAUGGGGUUUUUUUCCCCCUCCUCCUUUCCUUUAUGUGUUUCCUGAUAAGCCAAUCUGUGUACUGCUUUCCCUGCACUGUCUGUACAGUUGGAAGCAUUAUUCAAAUGAGUCCUGUGAAACUGAUGGCCUGUGGCCCCGGUUGUUAAACACCGACACGCUGCUCAUUAACACUCAGCAUCCGGAUAUCCUAAUUUCAGCUCAGAUUUUGGUAAAUAUAUAUUUUCUUGAUCAUUUCCAACUACCAUGCAAAGCCACAUCCUGUCCUCUCUGAGAUGCUUAGAAGAGUGUAUUGUGCAGGGACGGCUUUGCAGACAGGCAGCAGGAGGCUACACAUGCUGAUGUCGGGGCCAGGAGACCAUCAGAGUAGUUGAGAGAGGGCUUGCUGUUGGGUCCAAGACUGAGAGCUUAGAUUCCUGGGGCUUUCUGGGCCUCAGGGUUAGAGGUUGUCUUUGGCGUAUUUCAAUAUAACCAGUCUUUAGGAUCCUUUGAUAUCAUUGUUAGAAACAGUAAUGCGUAGUCAUGGGCUGAGAACUUGGGACCAGGAUCUAGGAUUUUUGGUCUCUCAGCCCUGGCUCCCCACUUCCUGGGAUAGAACCAAACCAGUGUGUAUGGAAGUUGACAGGCACACUGUGCAUUGGGGGUUGAGCUGUGUCCCUGCAAGAGAUAUGUUCAAGUCUGGACUCCUGGUACUUGUGAAUGUGACCUUAUUUGGAAAUGGAGUCUUUGCAGAUGUAACUAAGAUGGAAGUUAUAAGAAGAGGAAAAUAGAUACAGAGACACACAUACAGAGGAGGACACCAUGUAAAGGCACAGACAUGCGGAGGGAUAACAGCCAUGUGACAACAGGGAUGGAGACUGGGGUUACGCAGUUGCAAACCAAGAGCAACCAUUAGAAGAUAGAAGAGAGGCAUGGAACCAGUUCUUCCUUUGAGUCUCCAAGAGGGAACCAGUCCUGCCAACACCUUCAUUUUGGAUGUCUGCCUCGAGAACCGUGAGAGAAUGGUUUCUGUUAUUUCAAGCCAGCCAGUUUGCAAUACUUUGUGACUGCAGCCCUAGGAAGCUACUACGGUAGCUCAUUAAGGGCAACAAAAGGAUUCUUCAACUUCCAAUUUUUAGGAUAAAAAGAGGCAAAUGUAUUUAACUCAGAAUAAUUACACUGAAACUAUUUUUUUUAAUAAGUGAGAAAACAUCAAUAGCGGUCAAAUGGAUCCCAUGAAUUAGUCAGUAAAGGGGUUAGGGGUAGAAUAUAGGCAUUUGUAUUUUUAAUCAAAAUGAAGAACUAAGCAAGGCACAGAUAGAGCCCCCACUCCAGGCUCAGUCUCUGGUGGUUACUAGUUUAGCGGGAUAACUGGUCAACCUGGACAGGGCAUGUAGAUCAGUUUUGAAUUUCUUGGUUGCACAGAAUUUAAAAAGUUCUUGGGCCGGGCACGGUGGCUCAGGGCUGUAAUCCCAGCACUUUGAGAGGCUGAGGCGGAUGGAUCCCCCGAGGUCAGGAGUUCGAGACCAGCCUGGCCAACAUGGUGAAACCUCGUCUUUACUAAAAAUACAAAAAAUUAGCUGGGCGUGGUGGCGGGUGCCUGUAAUCCCAGCUACUCAGGAGGCUGAGGCAGGAGAAUUGCUUGAACCCAGGAGGCAGGGGUUGCAGUGAGCCCCAAGAUCUCACCAUUGCACUCCAGCCUGGGCGACAGAGAGAGACUCCAUCUCAAAAAAAAAAAAAAAAAAAAAAAAGUCCUUGAUUCACCACUGCCAUUGAGACCAAUAAAGUUUUCACUCUUUCACUAGAAGAUUCUUCUUGAGUAGCAUCCUUUCUCUUGCUUCUCUUAGCUCAGCUUUAACAUAAUUCUAAUGGUGCUGUUAGUUGACAGUGAACAACUCACACUCAGUUCCCCCUGUAGCCACUUUUGAGUGGAAAAUGCAUCCAACUAUUUUGUUAAUCACAGCAACGUGGUGGCUGCAAGAAAUAGCUUUCUGGUGCCUGGGAGUCUUUCUGUCCAUCUCUAGGCCUCAAUUUGUUAAGAUCCCACUGCAUAUGAAAGACAGAAAUAAAUGAAAAUAGCAUUAAUGCUUCAGACAUGAAUUGAGGACUACGGCGUAUUGUUAAGUUCCAUGACAGCGCCUUAAGUCUCAAGAUCCAACAUCUGCCUUGAUAACUCUGGGCAUUGCCACAAUGGUUUAUCAGCGCCCAUUGUUUCAAAUGGACCCCACUGCCUGGUCAAUUGGGUUGCAGCUCAUCUGGAAAGAUUAUACAUGUAGGCACCAGCAGACUGUACAGGCUACUCUGGGCUACUUGGAUGUCUUAAUUUCAGGGCUUCUAACCCCCUGCCUACAAAAUGCUGGUAUACACUUUGGACAGAGAUAGGUAUCUACUGGGCAUUCAGGAAAUGUGAUAACCUGGCACCUAGGGGGUAUCUUUGGAGAUUUGCCCCAGUGUUGAUGAAGCCCUUGAAGAGAUAUCUUGAGCUAGCUCACACUAUAGGUAUGGACUUGCUGGAGCUGUUGGAUGGGCUCAUUGCCCAUGAAAUAAUCCAGUAGAGAAGAGCAAGAGGUCUAUGCAGGGAGAAGAUGAAAUACUAGAGAACAAAUGGGUCACAAUUCCCAAUUAGCCGAUCCAAGCAGUUGGUCAGACUUACACAGUAACAGUACCUGUAUUAACCAGUCCUGUUACUGGUGCAUAUACAAAUGGCAACCAAAGGUCACCAUACAUUAAAAGAAAAAGGGCCCCAAAUAAGAGGACCAAGAGGAUAAAUAGAAUAAUUGAGGCCAGGGAAAGCAUAGAUUAAUUAAGCAACAGGUAAGAACUUAAAACAAAAUUCCUAUCUGAACCUCUAAUAAGUUUCUUAGAAAAAACUUAGAAGAUAUUACAUUCAUAAAAUGUGAAUGGUUGCUCUGAAAAAAAGAGCACUUAGAGAAUAAGAAAGUUCUUGAAAAUUAAAAACUUUAUUACCAGAAUAAAACUUCUAAUAAAAAGCUUGGAAGAUAAGUAAACAAAAUCUUCCAGAAUAAAAAGUUGGAAAAUAAGAAAGAAAAUGUAGAUGACAUGGAGGACCAAUUCAGUAAGUACAGCAUUUUAUCAGAUGGCAAUCCCACAAAUACAAAAGAGGAAAAUUGAAAGGAGAAAAUAUUCAGAAAAAAAUAAUUGAUUUGAAAUUACCGGAGUUUUAAAAAUGUACCAGAGCUGAAGAGAAACACAAGGAUCAGCUAGAAAGUGUUCACCAAAUGCUGGACAAGUAUAACAGGUUAAAUUUCACCCCGGGCACAAUUUUGUGAGAUUUCAGAACACUAGACAUAAAGAGAAGAUCCUAAAAACUCACAAAUACAAAAAACCAACACCUACAAAGGGAUGAAUAUCAGAUUUGCAUUGGAUUCUUCAUCAGUAACACUGGAUGCUAGAAAACAGUGGGAUAAUGCCUUCAAAGUUCUGAAGGAGGACUCAGCUUUAAGAAACAGUGAAGCCUUUGAAGAAGGAAGUCUCCCAUUUAUCCUACUCUAGGAAGGACCUUUACAUGCUCCAUGCAUUCAAUGUUUACAAUAACAAAAGUGGCUCUGAUGUUUCCUGUUGUGCAAGAGAAGGUGAAGUCAAGAGAUAUUCGGUGACUUGCCCCAGUCCUCCUUCCCAGGAAGUGGCCAAGGGGUCUUUACAGGUUGAUGUAAGAUUGGCCCUGUGCAGUUCCCAGGAGGUCUGGGGUAAGAGUGGAUGGGCCAAGGCCCUGCGGGGCCACAUUCUCCUGAUGGGACUCGUGUGGCCAGACUCUGCUCCUGUCACUUGGAGACUGUGUAGUGGCCAUCUCCACUCAUCCUGGGACUGGUGCUAUGAAGUUGCCACCAAGAAGGAUGUUUCCCUUUUCUUCCUCCCCACACCCACUUCCCCACAGGGUGUGGUGGCAGCAGGUGCCUCUUCUGCAUGGCCAGGGUCCCCCAUCGCUCACAGCUGUCAGUGUGCACAUGCUCAGACCUGCACCAUUCCUGUCCAGCCCCUGCAGUUACCACCUGGAAUCUUCAGCCAGGACUUGGAGGCUGUGAGGUCAGUCGGGAAGUGGAUCAGGAGGCCACCCCCUUCUGUGGCACUUCUGAGAUGACAACUUGUUUCACAGUUGGAUGGGGGUGGGGAAGGAAAGAGCGGCCCCAUUAUUCCAGAACAUUUUAUCCACACAGGCUCAGACACCCUGUGAUGAAGAGUCCAAGAACAGCCUGAGAUAAGGAUGUCAUUCUUCUUUCACAGGCCCCACGAUGGGUUUAUCUUUUGGGACCAAGACAUUGGGUCCCUACAUGUUUUCCCCUACCCUUCUUAGGAAAUAAAAUAUCAAACAACCCACA